UACGAAGGGUGCAAGCGUUACUCGGAAUUACUGGGCGUAAAGCGUGCGUAGGUGGUCGUUUAAGUCCGUUGUGAAAGCCCUGGGCUCAACCUGGGAACUGCAGUGGAUACUGGGCGACUAGAAUGUGGUAGAGGGUAGCGGAAUUCCUGGUGUAGCAGUGAAAUGCGUAGAGAUCAGGAGGAACAUCCAUGGCGAAGGCAGCUACCUGGACCAACAUUGACACUGAGGCACGAAAGCGUGGGGAGCAAACAGGAUUAGAUACCCCCGUA
This 269-nucleotide ribosomal RNA is filed under the name uncultured prokaryote. Its description in RNAcentral is "partial 16S ribosomal RNA". It matches the Rfam family "Bacterial small subunit ribosomal RNA", at positions 524 to 792 of the family's 1533-position model. The record is from RNAcentral.